This 1033-nucleotide long non-coding RNA is filed under the name Dromaius novaehollandiae (emu). RNAcentral describes it as "lncRNA (ENSDNVG00000013512.1)". The record is from RNAcentral. Lineage: Eukaryota; Metazoa; Chordata; Aves; Casuariiformes; Dromaiidae.
CCCGACCCGGCACCGCUGCCCCGGGAGCGGCUGCCCCGGUGGCUCCGGGUCGGGCCCUGGCUGCUCGGCAGCAGCCGCCCGGAGCCGCUCUGGCUGUGGCCACCCCUGGCCCCGAGUCACCCCGGGGACGGUCGCGAUCCGGCCCGGCCACACGGGCACCGCUGCCCAGAGCCGCUCCGGGUCGGGCCUGAUGCCCCGGGGUGAAAAACACCCGGCGUCGGCGCGGAUCCGGCCAGCAGCGGGGGAACGGCUGCCCCGGAGCCACCCCGAUCCCCCCCGGGGCCCUUCCGUCCCGGCCGCCCUCGCGCCUCGGUUUCCCCUCCCGCGCCGAAGCGGGGAUGGCGGCAGGGGGACCUGGAUCCCCCCCCCCGCAUCCUCGAAGCUUUUGUUUCCAAACCAAGCGAACGGGCAUCGCACCCCGCUCUCGGCACCGCGCGGCGCCGGGGGCCCUUCGCGGAAAGCCGCCUCCCCGGGACGUCGCAAGAGCCGCCGCGCGGGCGGCGGUGGCAAAGGGCGAGCGAGCCUCGGCGUGGGUUUUUCUUUGGCAUGUUUAUCCAGGCGCACAAACACGCCGCCCUCGGAAGCGGCCCUCCCGCGCGGGGCCGAGCUCCCUGCGGCCGCGGCGAGCCGGGGGCUCCCGCCUCCCCUCCGAACGGGACCGGGCCGGCGGGUCACGGCGGCGGGCUCAGCCCCAAGCGCUCGGCAGCGUCUCAAAGUCACCGUUCAGACCCGAAACGCGUCCCCUCCGAGGCAUCGCAGCCCCGGCAGCUUUCCGGGGGGGAAAUGGAGCCGCUUUCCCUGCAAACACCCCGGGAUCGCGGCCGGCGCGGGAGGCUCCGCUUCCUUCCGGAGGCAGAGAUCAUCCCCACUGGUGUAAGGAGUAAAAAGUGGCAUUUCAGGGUCUAUUUCAAAGGGAUUUUGUUUGUUUUUUCUUUCCUUCAAGGCAAACUUCUGAAACGGCACCGCGUGAGGAUGGAGCCGCCGUCACGCGACGCUCCCCUCCGGGGCAGCGCGGCCCCCGCAUCCCGGGAAA